RNAcentral lists this long non-coding RNA (255 nucleotides) under Elaeis guineensis (African oil palm). RNAcentral describes it as "long non-coding RNA (EGUI_LNC079752)". The record is from RNAcentral. Lineage: Eukaryota; Viridiplantae; Streptophyta; Magnoliopsida; Arecales; Arecaceae.
CAGUCCUGUGACUCCUCACAAGGACUACCCUAGCCAAGGUUUUGCUAAAUUGAAACAUGACUGUACACAGCUCCUAAACUGGAGUGGUCAAUCCCAUCUUGACACAUGCACCGACAAGUCAAGUACUUGACUACACCCAGCAGCCUUUCGUCACUGAAUUAAAAAUUCAGGUAGUCUAGUGCCUAAGUGCAGUGAGUUGCUUGCAAGUCACCGUGGCGGUCUCAGGUCAGAGGGAUAUUUAUACCCAUAUUCCAU